This 436-nucleotide ribosomal RNA is filed under the name uncultured bacterium. Its description in RNAcentral is "bacterial SSU rRNA". It matches the Rfam family "Bacterial small subunit ribosomal RNA", at positions 28 to 457 of the family's 1533-position model. The record is from RNAcentral.
GAUGAACGCUGGCGGCGUGCCUAACACAUGCAAGUCGAACGGACUCAUAAUGAAACCUAGUGAUUUAUGAGUUAGUGGCGGACGGGUGAGUAACGCGUGGAUAACCUGCCGUAUACUGGGGGAUAACACUUAGAAAUAGGUGCUAAUACCGCAUAAGCGCACAGUCUCGCAUGAGACGGUGUGAAAAACUCCGGUGGUAUACGAUGGAUCCGCGUCUGAUUAGCUUGUUGGCGGGGUAACAGCCCACCAAGGCGACGAUCAGUAGCCGGCCUGAGAGGGUGAACGGCCACAUUGGGACUGAGACACGGCCCAAACUCCUACGGGAGGCAGCAGUGGGGAAUAUUGCACAAUGGGGGAAACCCUGAUGCAGCGACGCCGCGUGAGUGAAGAAGUACCUCGGUACGUAAAGCUCUAUCAGCAGGGAAGAAAAUGACGG